GAGCGAACGCUGGCGGCAGGCCUAACACAUGCAAGUCGAGGGGCCGUAGCAAUACGGCACCGGCAGACGGGAGAGUAACACGUGGGAACGUGCCCAUCAGUUCGGAACAACCCAGGGAAACUUGGGCUAAUACCGGAUACGCCCUUACGGGGAAAGAUUUAUCGCUGAUGGAGCGGCCCGCGUCUGAUUAGCUAGUUGGUGAGGUAACGGCUCACCAAGGCGACGAUCAGUAGCUGGUCUGAGAGGAUGAUCAGCCUCACUGGGACUGAGACACGGCCCAGACUCCGUACGGGA
Molecule: ribosomal RNA, 294 nt
Filed under: uncultured soil bacterium
Lineage: Bacteria
Description: partial 16S ribosomal RNA
Rfam family: Bacterial small subunit ribosomal RNA
Source: RNAcentral